UACGGAGGGCGCGAGCGUUGUCCGGAAUCAUUGGGCGUAAAGGGCGCGUAGGUGGCCCGGUCAGUCUUUGGUGAAAGCGCGGGGCUCAACCCUGCGUCGGCCAGGGAUACUGCCGCGGCUCGAGCACUGUAGAGGCAGGCGGAAUUCCGGGUGUAGCGGUGGAAUGCGUAGAGAUCCGGAAGAACACCGGUGGCGAAGGCGGCCCGCUGGGCAGUGGCUGACGCUGAGGCGCGACAGCGUGGGGAGCAAACAGG
Molecule: ribosomal RNA, 254 nt
Filed under: uncultured bacterium
Lineage: Bacteria
Description: partial 16S ribosomal RNA
Rfam family: Bacterial small subunit ribosomal RNA
Source: RNAcentral